CGCCAUCUCAACCACAGCCCCGUUGCCGCUGCGCUGGCAGAGCAAGAAAGGGACAAGACGAUCGAGAUAGGGAGAGAGGAGCGGCCGGGGAGGAGGAUGGAGAAUGGACUCCAGGCAGAGCUUCCUUCGCUUCCUUGUCGUCGAUGAAUUCUUCGCCUUCGCUUCUAGGGUUUAGCGGGCUUUUCUCCGCUGGCGAUUGCUCCAAGACCAAGCUCGAACCCUCGUCGUUUGCGAUCGGUAGCGGAGUCGGCUCCCCUCUUGUCGAUUGCGAGCGGUAGCGGAGUCGGCCCUCCUCUGUUUCGCACUGGCGGGAAUCAAAGGCGCCGUCGCCUUCCUCCUCUUGUCGGCGCUUGCGCACCUCGUUGAUAUCUUCGAUUUCAAGACUAGGAGUCGGCGUCGGCGGAAGGGUUGGGGAGGCGGAAGCCGCCGGAGUGGAGGAAUCCUUCGGUGGGUCGUCCGCCUUUCCGGAUUGUGCUCCGCCGCCAUGGUAAUGGUGUUGUUAUCCCCCUCCUUCCAGUCCUCCCCUCCAGCCGAGGCCAUUCGGUCCUCCCAUUAUCUACGGUUUCCUGGCGGCGGGUACAAUCACCAGCUAGCCGCCGCCUCUAGCGAGACCAAAGGUUUCGCCUUCCGGCAAGCGCCCCGGUUUUACAAUGCCGCCGACUGUGAACCCCCGUCUGCUAACGGCAGCUCCGUCUGCGAUUCCUCGCUUGUCCAUGUCGCAAUCACCCUCGACGAGGAGUACCUGCGGGGCUCGAUCGCGGCGGUUCACUCUGUGCUGAUGCACGCCCAGUGCCCAGAGAGCGUCUUUUUCCAUUUCUUGGUUUCGGAGCUGGGCAUGGAGUCGGUGGUGCGCUCGGCCUUCCCAGGCCUCCGCUUCAAGGCGUAUUACUUCGAUCCAGACCGUGUCCGAUGGAUGAUUUCGACGUCGGUGCGGCAGGCCCUGGAUCAGCCACUCAACUACGCACGCAACUAUCUGGCGGAAAUUCUCGAGCUGUGCGUGAGCCGAGUGAUCUACCUAGACUCCGACCUAGUGGUGAUGGAUGACAUCGCCAAGCUGUGGCGGAAAGGGUUGGGAUCGAAGGCCGUUGGGGCGCCAGAGUACUGCCACGCCAACUUCACCAAGUACUUCACCGACCGGUUCUGGUCCAACAGGCGCCUGGCAGCCACAUUUGCGGGGCGCCGGCCUUGUUACUUCAACACUGGAGUGAUGGUGCUUGACCUUGUCCGAUGGCGGCGCGCGGGGUACACUCGACGGAUAGAACGGUGGAUGGAGGUACAGAAGAGGGGCGCAGCGCCCGGCGGAGCAGGGCGAAUCUAUGAGUUGGGGUCUCUUCCGCCCUUCCUUCUUGUAUUUGCAGGGCAAGUAGCCCCCAUCGAGCACAGGUGGAACCAGCACGGGCUCGGCGGGGACAACGUGAACGGUAGCUGUCGGGAUCUCCACCCAGGGCCGGUGAGCCUCCUUCACUGGAGCGGCAAGGGCAAGCCUUGGGUGCGGCUCGACUCAAACCAGCCCUGCCCGCUCGACCACAUCUGGGCGCCCUACGACCUCUACGGUUUUGCUGCCAAAUGACCAUUGCACAGCUUCUGCCCUGCCGCAUCUGUUUUCCGAAGAUUGAAGGGGAACAUCCUGUGAAGUGCCUCCAAAGAGCACUGUUUUCAGGCCCAUCGCUCUCUCUCUCUCGCAGCCUGCCUCUUCCCAACUGCCUUUUUAAUAAGUGCCAACCGCCAUCUUUCCAUCGAUGCCUGCAGAGCAGAAAAGACAGUUUAGUAGAAGAGUUGGAGAUGAAUACCAUACCCUUGGAUUAACUUUCCCAAAUCCAUUUUAUAUCCUGCCUUGAUUGGUUAGGCUUGGUUUAUGUGGAUUUUAUUCUCUCAUCUCUGUAUCUGAGGAGAAGAUUAGCAUCUUUCUCGGAGAUUGGAGACUCGAGCUCGUCCGGGGAGAAGAAGUCCAUAGAUUCCCUCACUGUAGGUGAUUUGAUAGAUGAGGUUGCUAGGCUGGCUGUGUCACUCUCGAAGCGGCAAAGCAUCUCCCCCAUGGACUGGUAGCCCCACUCCUCUUGUUCUUAAUGCCACGGAAGUCAUCAGCGUUGAGCAGUAUCUGGGGACCCAUAGCCUGUUUGAUCACCAUCGAAUACGAUAUGAGAAUGUUCUUCUAUAUGCAAAUUAAGGUGCCCUUGGGUUUAAGGGUCUUAUCUGAUAGACGUGCUUUUGUUUUUGGUUUCUUGGUAUGAUAAAAAUGGUCUUAAUCAUUUACUAGAA
RNA transcript from Zingiber officinale, 2259 nucleotides. It is a transcript of the gene named probable galacturonosyltransferase-like 7, with no coding region annotated. The transcript has 3 exons. The record is from RefSeq and is a predicted model, not a curated record. NCBI's taxonomy places the organism in Eukaryota, Viridiplantae, Streptophyta, Magnoliopsida, Zingiberales, Zingiberaceae.